Molecule: ribosomal RNA, 411 nt
Filed under: Triticum aestivum (bread wheat)
Lineage: Eukaryota; Viridiplantae; Streptophyta; Magnoliopsida; Poales; Poaceae
Description: partial small subunit ribosomal RNA
Source: RNAcentral
AUGAUGCCCCGCACGGCGGCGACUCGAUGGCGCCGGCGCUCGGCUGGGAAAUCAAUCCGGCAGCCGCCGAUAGGUCACACUGAUUCAUCUGGUUGCAUCACUCUUCGCGUUGCUCGUCUGGGGUGGGAUAUAAUCAAACUAUAUUUCCUGUAUGAGAUUCUGAAUCCCCUCUUUUUGUGGGUUAUGUGCCGGAUCACAGAUCGAACAUCUCCGCCGGCUAUCCAAUCACAUCCGUCGGGCAGAUGGUCGGAGGGGUGCCCGGUGCGGGAUAGCGCCGGCGGCGAUUCUGGUGCCGCCCGCCCGGACCUGCGGCUGAAUCCCCGGCUCCUCUCCUUCCAGCAGCGGGCCUCCACUCAUAUCUGUGAUCUCUCCAUCUCCAUCUCAAAUGUAUCAGUCUCCCCCGCCGCCUAG